CCUCCCAACCUGAAGUCAGCCAUCGCCGCUGUGACAUACAUGGCCGAGCAGCUGAAGAAGCAGGACACGGAUGACACAAUGACAGGAGACUGGCAGUUCAUUGCUCUGGUAGUGGACCGUCUCUUCCUGUGGUUGUUUGUCAUCAUCACCACCCUGGGAACCCUGGCCAUGUUCUUGGAUGCCAGUUUCAACUACACUCCUGAUAACCCCUUCCCAUAGAGGACAACACACACACACAGUUGUUUGAUACAUUGUUUGGUUGUCUCUUUAUUUCUACUUCUCCUUGGUGCUUUCCGAGAUCACCAGAUCUGACUUUCCAUAAAUACCUAUUCCAUAUUUCUGUUGUAAUGCGUCACAUUUGCAUACAGAGUAGCACACAUGCUUGACACACAGCUGACAUUAUAAUAUAAUCCAUGUAUAGUGCUAUAGAAGGUAAAUGUAUAUGUGGUAACAUCCAAUAGUUUUGCAUUAUUUUUGUCUAAAUCUGUAUUUAUGACUUUGUGAUCUUCUUUAUUUGAGUCUAAAAGUUUGAAAUAUAUGUUUCUUCAAAGUGA
Long non-coding RNA from Lates calcarifer (barramundi perch), 554 nucleotides. RefSeq lists it as uncharacterized. The record is from RefSeq and is a predicted model, not a curated record. The transcript has 2 exons. Lineage: Eukaryota; Metazoa; Chordata; Actinopteri; Centropomidae.